AUUAAAAAAAACCAAAUCUAGACCACUAGUCAAGAAAAACGAGUAGACUAGAGUGUAAGAGGUAGAGAGAGAGAGAGAGCGCUCCUCUUCCUUUCUCUUUUUUCCCUUUUGCUUUUCAGCUCUGGGAAGACGCCCUCUCCCUUUCUCUCCUGUCCUACUAAAACAUCAAAAUAUCCAACGGCAAAAAGAAAGGGAAACGUAAAAAAUGGCUGAAGACUUGAAGAGAAACGACGCUUUAGCUCUCUCCUUGAAGCAAUCUUCCGAUGAUCGGAAGCUUUCGUUGGCGGCAUCAGCCAGCAAGAGGGUCAUCAUCAAGUGCUC
Molecule: long non-coding RNA, 321 nt
Filed under: Vitis vinifera (wine grape)
Lineage: Eukaryota; Viridiplantae; Streptophyta; Magnoliopsida; Vitales; Vitaceae
Description: long non-coding RNA (VVIN_LNC002030)
Source: RNAcentral